UGAUGUUAGCGGCGGACGGGUGAGUAACACGUGGGUAACCUGCCUGUAAGACUGGGAUAACUCCGGGAAACCGGGGCUAAUACCGGAUGCUURUUUGAACCGCAUGGUUCAAAYAUAAAAGGUGGCUUCGGCUACCACUUACAGAUGGACCCGCGGCGCAUUAGCUAGUUGGUGAGGUAACGGCUCACCAAGGCAACGAUGCGUAGCCGACCUGAGAGGGUGAUCGGCCACACUGGGACUGAGACACGGCCCAGACUCCUACGGGAGGCAGCAGUAGGGAAUCUUCCGCAAUGGACGAAAGUCUGACGGAGCAACGCCGCGUGAGUGAUGAAGGUUUUCGGAUCGUAAAGCUCUGUUGUUAGGGAAGAACAAGUACCGUUCGAAUAGGGCGGUACCUUGACGGUACCUAACCAGAAAGCCACGGCUAACUACGUGCCAGCAGCCGCGGUAAUACGUAGGUGGCAAGCGUUGUCCGGAAUUAUUGGGCGUAAAGGGCUCGCAGGCGGUUUCUUAAGUCUGAUGUGAAAGCCCCCGGCUCAACCGGGGAGGGUCAUUGGAAACUGGGGAACUUGAGUGCAGAAGAGGAGAGUGGAAUUCCACGUGUAGCGGUGAAAUGCGUAGAGAUGUGGAGGAACACCAGUGGCGAAGGCGACUCUCUGGUCUGUAACUGACGCUGAGGAGC
Molecule: ribosomal RNA, 682 nt
Filed under: Bacillus sp. (in: firmicutes)
Lineage: Bacteria; Bacillati; Bacillota; Bacilli; Caryophanales; Bacillaceae
Description: bacterial SSU rRNA
Rfam family: Bacterial small subunit ribosomal RNA
Source: RNAcentral